Molecule: ribosomal RNA, 440 nt
Filed under: uncultured bacterium
Lineage: Bacteria
Description: partial 16S ribosomal RNA
Rfam family: Bacterial small subunit ribosomal RNA
Source: RNAcentral
CCUACGGGCGGCAGCAGUGGGGGAUAUUGCACAAUGGGGGAAACCCUGAUGCAGCGACGCCGCGUGUGGGAAGACGGUCCUCUGGAUUGUAAACUACUGUCCCCAGGGACGAAGAUGACGGUACCUGGGGAGUAAGCCCCGGCUAACUACGUGCCAGCAGCCGCGGUAAUACGUGGGGAGCGAGCGUUGUCCGGAAUUACUGGGUGUAAGGGGAGCGUAGGCGGGACUGCAAGUUGGGUGUCAAAUCUCCCGGCGCAACCGGUAGCCGCACUCAAAACUGCAGUUCUUGAGUGAAGUAGAGGCAGGCGGAAUUCCUAGUGUAGCGGUGAAAUGCGUAGAUAUUAGGAGGAACACCAGUGGCGAAGGCGGCCUGCUGGGCUUUUACUGACGCUGAGGCUCGAAAGUGUGGGGAGCAAACAGGAUUAGAUACCCCAGUAGUC